UAGAGCGGCGAACGGGUGAGUACACGUAGGUAACCUGCCGUGCGAUUGGGGAUAGCCUGUGGAAACACAGGGUAAUACCGAAUACGACCUUCGGGGGAAAGGUGCUUCGGCACCGUCGUACGAUGAGCCUGCGGCGCAUUAGUUAGUUGGCGGGGUAAUGGCCCACCAAGGCGACGAUGCGUAGCCGACCUGAGAGGGUGAUCGGCCACACUGGGACUGAGAUACGGCCCAGACUCCUACGGGAGGCAGCAGCUAAGAAUCUUCCGCAAUGGACGAAAGUCUGACGGAGCGACGCCGCGUGGGCGAGGAAGGCCGAAAGGUUGUAAAGCCCUUUUCUGCGUGAGGAAUAAGAAUCGGAGGCAAUGCCGGUUUGAUGACGGUAGCGCAGGAAUAAGCCCCGGCCAAUUACGUGCCAGCAGCCGCGGUAACACGUAUGGGGCGAGCGUUGUUCGGAAUUAUUGGGCGUAAAGGGCGCGCAGGCGGUCAUGCAAGCUUGGUGUGAAAGACCACGGCUUAACGGUGGAAACGCGCUGAGAACUGCAUGACUUGAGUUUCGGAGGGGGAACUGGAAUUCCAGGUGUAGGGGUGAAAUCUGUAGAUAUCUGGAAGAACAUCAGUGGCGAAGGCGAGUUCCUGGCCGACAACUGACGCUGAGGCGCGAAAGCGUGGGGAGCGAACAGGAUUAGAUACCCUGGUAGUCCACGCCGUANACGAUGUGCACUAGGUGUUGGGCUUUCGAAGGCUCAGUGCCGCAAGUUAACACGUUAAGUGCACCGCCUGGGGAGUAUGCCCGCAAGGGUGAAACUCAAAGGAAUUGACGGGGGCCCGCACAAGCGGUGGAGCAUGUGGUUUAAUUCGAUGAUACGC
This 867-nucleotide ribosomal RNA is filed under the name uncultured organism. Its description in RNAcentral is "bacterial SSU rRNA". It matches the Rfam family "Bacterial small subunit ribosomal RNA", at positions 91 to 962 of the family's 1533-position model. The record is from RNAcentral.